RNA transcript from Eleginops maclovinus (Patagonian blennie), 3974 nucleotides. It is a transcript of the gene named cholinergic receptor, muscarinic 4b, with no coding region annotated. The transcript has 3 exons. NCBI's taxonomy places the organism in Eukaryota, Metazoa, Chordata, Actinopteri, Perciformes, Eleginopidae. The record is from RefSeq and is a predicted model, not a curated record.
AUUACAGCCAUCUCUCUAUCAGCUCAGGCGGGACAGAAGCAAACCCAAACCGCCGCCGAUGUUUGUACACAUUGUCCACUUUGAAACCAGUCUAUUUCUCAUUGUCCAUGUCAACUUUCAUUGUGCACUGCUUCUGUUUUUACACAGAGUAUUCGUGCGGUCACCCAUCUGCAUUGCAGCUUGUUUAAUGAGUUUUUCCGCGUCCUUGGCACUUGUAAAGCUCCGGGUCCUCCCCUUCCAGGUGAAUCGCAGAGUUGCCGGAUGGGCCAGCGUGUAUCUCCCAUUGAGCUGCUGUCGUGUUUUCUUCGCGGCCGUAAAGGUCUUCCUCUUCUCGGCCAGUUCCCUCGACAUGUCUGGAAACACGAAGAUUCUCCGUCCUUCCCAUUCAAGCCCUGUUUUACUCUGACAGCUUUCAAAACUUUAUCCCUCGCUGCAGAGUCGGCGCCAGAGCAGAUCUACUGGAGGGGCAUUGGGUCAUUACGUCAAUUAUAGUCGAUUGUGACAGAUCGAGAAUAUGCUUCACAGCUGGUAGGAGGGGCAUCAAUGACCGCUAGGGGGGGCACGGCCCUCGAAUGCCCCCCCUUAGCGCCGGCACUGCCUCGCUGACUGCCGUAAAAAUCUGAUCAGCACCGGUCUGGGCGGCUGGUCCUCAUUGGGGAUGGGAGCUAAUGCUCGGUGUGCCCUUUCUAUUUCAAAUUCACCUUCGACAUCAACUCCGAGCGUUUUCUUCACGCAUGCCUCCAUUGUGCCGUUCGUUCCGUAGGUUUCUUUCAGCCCCAAUAACCUCACGUUGUUUCUCUUGCUGUGGUUUUCAAGCAUUUGGAUGCGAUCCCACAACACUUCCGUCCUCUUUUCAGCGUGUUCUCCGUCGCUCACAAGCCGGUCAGUCGUGUCCUCCAGGUGGGAGAUCCGCCCCUCCGCCUCCCCCAGCCUUUCUUGAAUGUUGUUCGCCGUGUUUUUGAGCUCAUUUGUUGUUUCUUUAAUGGUUAGUAUGUCUGCUGCCACUCCCUGCAACGUGGUGCUCAUCUUGGAGAUUUCGGCAAACAUAUUCUCCAUGUUUGCAGUUUUUUCGGCAGGUUGCUUUCCUCGCUGCACUGGCGGCGGCGAGUUAGAAGUGAUGCUUCCUUCAGUCGGCGGGGGAGGAUUUUUCCUGGUCGCCAUUGGGAUCCGAAGAAGAAAAAACAACACUCUGUCUUACUUACAUAUAAGUCGUGAACACCAAGGGUUAUUAUUGUGUAAAAGGUUGUGGGUUUUCAUGUAGUACAAUAUCGUAAAUAUCGGCGGGUGAGCGGAGCUCGUCUACUGCGCCGCCAUCUCGCUCGGCGUACCCACGUGACUCCUCUAAGUUAACAGUUUUAAACAUUUAUAUAUUACUGAAUAAAAAGAAUGAGUUAAAAAGCUAAUUGAUAUAAAUGGUUUCCUGCAGGUAACAUGGGAGCGGACCUGAAUGCCUCCCUGUGGCUCCACCCCUACACGAACGCCUCCUCCUGUCAGCCAAUCGGAGCAGCCUGUCCCUACAGCACCGCCCAGCUGGUGCUCAUCGCCAUGGCGACUGCCUCCCUGAGCGUCGUCACGGUGACCGGCAACACGCUGGUCAUCCUGUCCGUCAAAGUGAACCGGCGCCUGCGCACCGUGAACAACCACUUCCUGCUGAGCCUGGCGGCGGCGGACCUGGUUGUUGGGCUGCUGUCGGUGAACCUGUUCUCGCUGUACGUGCUGCACGGCAGCUGGACGCUCGGCGCCGCAGCCUGCGACCUGUUCCUGGUCCUGGAUCACACAGCAAGCAGCGCCUCCGUCCUCAACCUGCUGCUCAUCAGCCUGGACCGCUUCCUGUGCGUGACGCGGCCGCUCAGCUACCCGGCGCGCCGCACGGCCGGCGUGGCGCGGCUGAUGAUCGGUGCCGCUUGGCUGCUGGCCUUCAUGCUAUGGACGCCUGCGAUCCUGUGCUGGCAGAGCAGCAGCGGCCAGCGCCUGGUUCCUGAAGGAGAGUGUUUCACCCAGCUGAUCGCCAGCCCCGCCGCCACCCUGGCCACAACGCUGCCGUCCUUCUUCCUGCCAGCGCUCGUCAUGGUCGCCCUGUACAGCCGGCUGUCGGUGGCGAGCCGCGGCAGGCUGAGUGGCGGCAGGCUGAGCGGCGGCAGGCUGAGCGGCGUCCACCCGGAGACGUCCAGCCCCUCCGCCAAGGACUUCCUGUUGAAGCGGCGCAGCGAGGUGAGCGCAGAGCCCGCCUCCGACGCAUCUCUGAACCUAUCAGAGUCCAGCACGCCGAAGCCCGGGAGGAGCAGGAAGAUGUCCAGGAGUCUGCCGGACACUCGCAUUGCAGCUCGCCACAACGCAGACUCCAACAAGAUAGAGACUGACUCCUCGUCCAACGCAGACGUCCACCAGACGGCGGCAGCAGCGGUGUCCGCCUGCAGCAGCUUCCGGUCUCAGGAGCGGCGGCGGCAGCGAGCGACGGCGAGGGAGAGGAGGGUCACGAAGACCAUCCUCUCAAUCCUGCUGGCCUUCAUCGUCACCUGGACGCCGUACAACAUCAUGGCGGUGGUCGCCGCCUUCUGCCACGUGUGCGUGCCAGGUGUCUUCUGGACGGCGGGAUACUGGCUCUGCUACAUCAACAGCGCCGUCAACCCGGGCUGCUACGCCCUCUGCAACGUGACCUUCAGGAAAACCUUCCUCAGCCUGCUGCGCUGCCGCGGCAGGAGGCUGAGCUAAUCAUGCGGUUCGGACUGACGAUCAGAGAAUACCAGAGAGACCAGCGGACCUCCUUCAAUAUAUUCUGACACUUUAUAGAUGAAUGAUCACAGAGCUGCAGGGUGUGGUGUUUCUGUGCUGGUCCCUGAACUCAGCAUUUCCCUGGUCCAAUGGGAUUUCCGCAUGCGAUUUCGGCUAAGCUAAAGGCGGCUAAUGUUGGGCUAUAAAGGAACUACAGCACGGUCACAUGACUUCACGUCACCACCGCUAAGCUAAAGGAGGCUAAUGUUGGGCUAUAAAGGAACUACAGCACGGUCACAUGACUUCACGUCACCACCGCUAAGCUAAAGGCGGCUAAUGUUGGGCUAUAAAGGAACUACAGCACGGUCACAUGACUUCACGUCACCACCGCUAAGCUAAAGGAGGCUAAUGUUGGGCUAUAGAGGAACUACAGCACGGUCACAUGACUUCACGUCACCACCGCUAAGCUAAAGGCGGCUAAUGUUGGGCUAUAAAGGAACUACAGCACGGUCACAUGACUUCACGUCACCAGCGUGUCUUUCAGACUCUUUUUAGGACCCUAUAGGACUCGUGUUCCUCUGAUCUGUUGAAGAAGCUGAUAUCUUUUAUUCUUUGCACAGUUGUGUGUUGUGAUGAUUCAACAGGAGCGUGUGAUGAUCAGAGACGUUACCUUGCAGGAAUCCACUUUGAAAAGAGAUGUGGAGCGACGCUUUAAUCCUUCAAUUCUAUUCAGUUUGUCUGUGGUCAACACUCCUUCAUUUCUUAAGAUCCCCUUCCAGAGACCCACCUCUGGUCUUCUUGACUUUGGGGACGCAGGGUUUGGACACCGUGACGCUGGCCUCACACUCUGCGUUGAACAGCGCUCUCUUCAGAGUUCCUGAGCGGCUCUUCGUGUUCGUGUCGGCGCCGCAGGACCCCCAGGGGGCGAACUUAUACUUACAGUCACCUGCAGGGAAGACACCUUUAAUAUCAGGACGGAGUUCAGGUGUGUGUUCAUUAUGAACCAGACAGGAGGAGACGCCUGCAGAGAUUUGACCCGAUGACCUCACACACAUCGCACACCCUACUGUCGCUCAUCUGUCACUGACAGGAAAGACCGGCCGUCCCACUGCCCCCCCUCAGGCUGUCAGGGGAAAUGCAUUCUGUGAGACAGCAGGGGAAGAUCUCUCUCACCUUUGUGGUUCUUGUUCCUCCGGCUGGCCUCGCAGCUGAGAGUCAGCAGCAGCAGCAGCAGCAGUGUCACUGAGAGCAGACCUCGCAUC